This 66-nucleotide transfer RNA is filed under the name Cymbomorpha sp. CPL-2004. RNAcentral describes it as "tRNA-Leu". The record is from RNAcentral. Lineage: Eukaryota; Metazoa; Arthropoda; Insecta; Hemiptera; Membracidae.
UCUAAAGUGGCAGAUAUAAUGCAAUGAAUUUAAGACUCAUUUAUAAAUAAUUUUAUUUCUUUAGAA